UUUAGUGAUGAUAUUUGAUUACUUGUUGCUUGAAUAUAUAUAUGUGAGCACAAUUGACUACAACGGUAUCUGAAU
This is a small nucleolar RNA of 75 nucleotides. It matches the Rfam family "Small nucleolar RNA snR79".